This 441-nucleotide ribosomal RNA is filed under the name Bacillus cereus. RNAcentral's name for it is "bacterial SSU rRNA". It matches the Rfam family "Bacterial small subunit ribosomal RNA", at positions 139 to 565 of the family's 1533-position model. The record is from RNAcentral. Lineage: Bacteria; Bacillati; Bacillota; Bacilli; Caryophanales; Bacillaceae.
UGGGAUAACUCCGGGAAACCGGGGCUAAUACCGGAUAACAUUUUGAACUGCAUGGUUCGAAAUUGAAAGGCGGCUUCGGCUGUCACUUAUGGAUGGACCCGCGUCGCAUUAGCUAGUUGGUGAGGUAACGGCUCACCAAGGCAACGAUGCGUAGCCGACCUGAGAGGGUGAUCGGCCACACUGGGACUGAGACACGGCCCAGACUCCUACGGGAGGCAGCAGUAGGGAAUCUUCCGCAAUGGACGAAAGUCUGACGGAGCAACGCCGCGUGAGUGAUGAAGGCUUUCGGGUCGUAAAACUCUGUUGUUAGGGAAGAACAAGUGCUAGUUGAAUAAGCUGGCACCUUGACGGUACCUAACCAGAAAGCCACGGCUAACUACGUGCCAGCAGCCGCGGUAAUACGUAGGUGGCAAGCGUUAUCCGGAAUUAUUGGGCGUAAAG